RNAcentral lists this long non-coding RNA (6625 nucleotides) under Salmo salar (Atlantic salmon). Its description in RNAcentral is "lncRNA (ENSSSAG00000101364.1)". The record is from RNAcentral. Lineage: Eukaryota; Metazoa; Chordata; Actinopteri; Salmoniformes; Salmonidae.
AAAUUAGAAUCCAAGGAAGUUGACAUGUCAUCACUUCAUUUUUUUGCGCCUGCGCAUAAAUCUGAGAAACGUGAGUUUUGUCUUCAUUGUUUAUCUCGACAUAGGAUAGGUUGUGUGAAAAUAUUACUGAUGUUUAACGUUAAAAAUGGACCAAAAGAUUAAUGCUAAACAACAUUUGACAUGUUUGAACGAACAUAAAUAGAUUAUUUACUCGUUUUUUUUUAGCUUUUCGGCGUGAUUUUACAGUCCCCCACCACGUUUUGUGGGAGCAUAAUGAACGCUAAGUACUUGGUGUUAUUUGGACAUAAAUUAUGAACUUUGUCAAAAGAAACCACAUUUGUUCCGGACCUGGGAUGCCUUCCGGACCUGGGAUGCCUGUCUUCUGAUGGAGAUAAUCAAAGGACCUGAGCCCUAGGACCAUGCCUCAGGACUACCUGGUAUGAUGACUUCUUGCUGUCCCCAGUCCACCUGGCCGUGCUGCUGCUCCAGUUUCAACUGUUCUGCCUGCGGCUAUGGAACCCUGACCUGUUCACCGGACGUGCUUGUUGCACCCUCGACAACUACUAUGAUUAUUAUUAUUUGACCAUGCUGGUCAUUUAUGAACAUUUUAACAUUUUAACAUCUUGACCAUGUUCUGUUAUAAUAUCCACCCUGCACAGCCAGAAGAGGACUGGCCACCCCUCAUAGCCUGGUUCCGCUCUAGGUUUCUUCCUAGGUUUUUGGCCUUUCUAGGGAGUUUUUCCUAGGGAGUUUUUCCUAGCCACCGUGCUUCUUUCACAUGCUUUGCUUGCUGUUUGGGGUUUUAGGCUGGGUUUCUGUACAGCACUUUGAGAAUAUCAGCUGAUGUACGAAGGGCUAUAUAAAAAUAAAUUUGAUUUGGAGUUUUUCUUUGCACUUGCAAUAUAGUCUUGCAAAACUCUGCAUGCAGUACUUCGAUUGGCUGUUUGUCUCAUUUGGUAAAUUCAUUAUUAGAGAAUGGACCCCAUACUUCGCUGCCAUAUAGACCAAUUGGUUCUAUAACUGAUCUGAAAAUUUAGCCAGAUUUUAAUUGGAAUUUUAAUUUUAAUGUUCCUUUUAAUGGCAUAGAAUGCUCUUCUUGCUUUGUCUCUCAGAUCGUACACAGCCAUGUGAAAGCUACCUGUGUUGCUGCUAUUUAGUCCUAGAUACGUGUGUAGUUUUUAGCAUGUUCUGAUAGAACUGUGUCCAAAUAUAAUUUAUAUUAGUGAUCCUGAUUUCCCGACCUCUUUUGGAAUAUCAUUACAUUCGUUAUUUUUUAGGUUAACGGUCAGACCCCAGGUCCGACAGAACCUGUGCAGAUGAUCUAGAUGCUGCUUUAAUCCCUCCUUAGUGGGAAACGGCAGCACCAGGUCAUCUGCGUACAGCAGACACUUGAUUUCAGUGUUGUCGGUUGAGACCAGGUGCUGCAGAUUCUUCAAAUGUUUUUGCCAAUUCAUUCAUGUAGAUGUUAAAUAGUGUUGGACUUAUUGAGCAGCCCUGUUUCACUCCACGUCUCAGAGAUGUUUGCUAGUUGCCCAUUUUAACUGCACAUUUGUUUAUAGUGUACAUUGAUUUAAUUACAUACGUUUUCCCUCCAAUACUACUUUCUAUUAGUUUAUUUUAAAAAAGACCUUUGUGCCAAAUUGAAUCAAAUGCUUUCUUGAAGUCUACAAAACAUGAGUAGAUUUUGCCUUUGUUUUGGUUUAGUGUGUUUGUCAAUUAUAGUGUGUUGGGUAUAUAUGUGGUCUGUUGUCCGGUAAUUUGUUACAAAUCCAAUUUGGCUUCUGCUCAGGACGUUGUGUUCAUCAAGGAAAUGACAUAGUCUGCUAUUUAUGAUAUUGCAGAGAAUUUUCCCCAAGUUGCUGUUAAUGCAACUUCCUCUUUAAUUAUUUCGGUCAAAUUUGUCUCGAUUUUUAUAGAUUGGUGUGAUCAAUCCUUGGGUCCAAAUAUCGGGGAAAAUACCUGCAGUGCAGGAUAAUGUUGAAAAGUUUGAGUGUAGCCAAUUUGAAUUUGUGGUCUGUAAAUUUAAUAAUUUCAUUUGAAAUACCAUCAGCACCACAGGCCUUUUUGGGUUGUAGAGUGUAUUGUUUUUCUAAUAAUUCUUAUUCUGAUUCAAGGAUUUGUAAUUUUUCUUGUAUAUCUUGUUGUUCUGGGCUCUUUGUUAUAUUGCUGUAGAGGUUUGCAAAGUGAUUUCUCCACAUAUCACCAUUAUGGAUAGCCAAUUCCUCAUGUGGUUCGUUUAAUUUAUUCCAAUUCUCCCAGAAGUGGUUUGACUCUAUGGAUUCCUCAAUUACAUCCAGCUAAUUUCUAAUGUGCUGUUUCUUUUUUGUUCUUAGGGUGUGAUUGUAUUGCUUCAGUGUUUCCCCAUAUUGAAAGAGUGUAUUUUUGUCUGGUUCUCUGUUUUUGAUUAGAUACAUUUCUCAAUGACUUCCUUAGAUUGUUGUUAUCAUUAUCAGACCAUUUUUCAUGAUCUAUUAUUUUUGGUUUGCUCUUAUGUUUUUUAGAUUAGCCAAGGAGGCUAAUUUGUCAAAUAUAAAGUUUCUGUUCCAAACGUCCAAAUUUACAUCUUCAUUGCUGUAGGAGAAUGUUAAGGCUAAAAAGUUAUCCAGGAGAGAUUGUAUUUGUUGGCUACUAAUUGCUUUUUGGUAGAUUUCUGUAAUGUUUACACUCCGUCUGUAAGCCUGUUUAGUAGCAUGUAAUUUAUUGGGCCGUGAUGCUUCAUGGUUAGGUUCCGCUCUCCUCAGAUAAACUGUGAUUUUACUGUGGUCUGAGAGAGGUGUUAGUGGGCUGAAUGUGAAGGCUCUGAGAGACUCUGGGUUGAGGUCGGUGAGUCUGCCUGUCGCUCUCACUCUCGCUCUCUUUUGGUCUGCCUAGCUCUCUCUCUUCAUCUCUUUCGAUCUGCCCAUCUCAUGCUCUCUCUCUCUUUGUCUGCCUAUAUAUAUAUAUCUCUUCAGUCUGCCACUCAAUCUCUUUCGGUCUGCCCAUCUCUCUCUCUCACUCUUUCAGUCUGCAUAUCUCUCGCUCUCUCAAAUGGCUUUAUUGGCAUGGGAAACGUGUUUACAUUGCCAAAGCAAGUGAAAUAGAUUAUGAACAAAAGUGAAAAACAAUAAAAAAUGUACAGUUAACAUUACACUCACAGAAGUUCCAAAGAAAUAGAGACAUAUCAAAUGUCAUUAUGGCUAUAUAUAUAGCGUAACGAUGUACAAAGGGAAAAUAAAUAUGGGUUGUAUUUACAAUGGUGUGUGUACUUCACUGGUUGCCCUUUUCUUGUGGCAACAGGUCACAAAUCUUGUUGCUGUAAUGACACUGGUCAUUCACCCAAUAGAUAUAGGAGUUUAUCAAAAUUGGAUUGGUUUUCAAAUUCUUUGUGGAUCUGUGUAAUCCGAGGGAAAAUAUGUGUCUCUAAAAUGGUCAUACAUUUUGCAGGAGGUUAGCAAGUGCAGCUCAUUUUGUGGGCAGUGUGCACAUAGCCUGUCUUGUCUUGAGAGCCAGGUCUGCCUAUGGCAGACUCUCUCAAUAGCAAGGCUAUACUCACUGAGUCUGUACACAGGCAAAGCUUUCCUUAAGUUUGGGUCAGUCACAGUGGUCAGGUAUUCUGCCACUGUGUACUCUCUGUUUAAGGCCAAAUAGCAUUCUAGUUUGCUCAGUUUUUUUUGUUACUUGACACAUUGGAAAGAAUUCUCUUUGUUUUCUCAUGAUUUGGUUGGCUCUAAUUGUGUUGCUGUCCUGGGGCUCUGUUUGUGAACAGAGAGAGCUUGCUUAGGGGACUCUUCUCCAGGUUAAUCUCUCUGUAGGUGAUGGCUUUGUUAUGGAAGGUUUGGGAAUCACUUUCGCGAUUGUAGAAUUUAACAGCUCUUUUCUGGAUUUUGAUAAUUAGCGGGCAUCAGCCUAAUUCUGUCUGCAUGCAUUAUUUGGUGUUUUACGUUGUGCACAGAGGAUAUUUUUCCUCACUCUCCCCCUUUCGUUCUGCCCAUCUCUCUCAAUUCAGUAGACUAUUGACAUGGCAAGUUAAAUUACUUACAUUGUCAAAGUAUACAUAUACAACAAUGGUGGGACCAACAGCAAUAUGGCAUCAAUAAUAAUAGUAGUUGUUACGAAUCCCUUUUGCCCUGCAGUCUAGGGGGGGGGGGGGAUGGAAACGAGACCUAUAACAUAUCAUACAAAUCAUAAUAGUGAAAAGGAACAGCGAGAACUAAUAGCCACAGACAACUUAAAUUUACCGUCAAACACUAAUGGUUUGUUUAAACACACAGUAUUUGGGCUGUGGGAAAAAGGGGCUGAGCUGGACCCAGGGAAAGAAAUACAUAUCCAAACAAAUCCAUAAGCUAGUCUAGCCUGCUUUAAGAACAGCUACCUAACUAACCAAAAAUACAGUGGGUGUUCCACCCAGUUCUAACUAGGGUAUUUAGACACUGUUUUCCUACGGGCAAUGUAGUCCCAUGGGCGACUUGGCUGGUUAGCCCCCUUUCCCACCAACAACAACAACAAACAGUCAUACACCAUAACAAUACUCACAGGAUAACGGACAAAGUGACACGUAGGUGCAAAAACAAAAGAGAGAUCUGGUAGAACUGAUUGGGAUACUUUUAAACCAAGGGAAAGGGGAUGUGAUUGGGUAAGGGAAAAGGAGCAGGUGUGUCUUCUGAUUAGCGACUGAUUAGGCAAUGGUGAUUGCCACCUGUGAGUAGGGGAGAAGGAGAGAAAAGAAAUACACACAGGAUACCUGUAUCCGUAACAGUAGUAGUUGAAAUGGUAUUACCAUUAACAGCAACUACAACAACUAUUAAUAAUACAUUAAAGCAAUAGUACUAGGCCAGUCUUAACAUGACUGAAAAUCCGCCUGGUAUGAAAGCCCAAAAAAAAACAAAGCUGGAAAUAUUACUGACAUUACAUUGCACUUUUCACUGGCCAUCCCUCGGGUUGUGGCAACAGGACACAUAUUUGGCUGCCAAACCAAUAAAUAAUUUACAGUUUCAAAUUCUUUGUACUGAAUGCUAAUUUUGUUCUACCUAUCUCUCUCUCUCUCUCUUUCGGUCUGCCCCUCUCUCUCUCUGUCUUUCGGUCUGCCCCUCUUUCUCUCUGUCUUUCGGUCUGCCCCUCUCGCUCCCUCUCUGUCUUUUGGUCGGCCCCUCUCGCUCUCUCUCUGUCUUUCGGUCUGCCCAUCUCGCGCUCUCUCUCUUGUUCUCUCCUUUGUUGUCUCUCUUACACACUCAUUCCCCUCCCUCUCUUGCUCUCUCUCACAUAAGCCUACUCUCAUUUGUUUUCUCUCUCCGUUGUUCUACUCCUCCAUUUCUUUCCCUUUUCCUCCCCCCUUCUCUCCCUUUUGCCCUCUCUCUUUCUGUUCCACUUCUCUCUCUCUCCAUCCUUCUCUCUCCCACUUGGGAUCAGAUGGCCUUGCGGCUCUGAGAGAGCAAGUCAAGAGCCAGUCGCCUACAUCUGGCCUGGCUGUGCUGGAUAGGCCUUGUCGGCCAGUGGCCCCUAAGUACUUAUUGAUUAAAGCCACUGAAGGGGAUGGAGCUCACUUAAAUUGAUGGAGCCCUUUUAAAGGGACAGUGCUCCAAGCCAGUGCCUGGUCCCCUGGAAUUUGAUCCCAACAGAGUCCAGACCUCUCACUGCAGCAAAACUCCCACAUAAGUUUUGUUCAGACAGAAACAUGAGAAGAGGCUGGAGAUGAGGAGACUCAGAAAGAGAGCUGGAGAACAAUGAGAGUUUAACUGGGCUAGCUAUUUUUAACCCGCACUCUUCGCUAUGCUGUGCUGUGCAGUGGACUGAAGCGAAGGAUCAGAGCUAGUCUGUGUGAACAGUGGUGCUGAGGGAACUCCAUGAGCACACACACACACAUACGGUGCCUCUGGGGUGUCUUCAUCUCUUCACCAUCCCCAAUUAGAGCAUGUGUGUUCUAUGUGAUGAGAUAUGAGGCAGAGACAGCUCAGUUCUCCAAACACACAUACACGCACUCACUCACUAUAGCGGAGAAGCCAUGCUCAUUAGUUUAGUAAAGCCCGUGUGUGGAUGUGGAGAAAGCUCUUUUGAUUGGGGUGAAGCUUGAAUAAACCUCCACUUUUAUCUUGGUGGCGUGGUUAUACCUCAUUAUUAGCUGGGUGUGGUCAGACCGGGCAAGAGCUAAUCGAAUAGGGUGACUUCAUUCGAAUUAGGCAUAAUGGUAUUUCAUUGGUUCCCGUCGUUUGAUCAGACAAAGCUUAUUGGGCCAUGGCCUUUGUGUAUGCGUGCGUGCAGGCCCAAUUAGACGACAAACCCAAAGACGAGCUAGCUUGUUUAGCAUUGUGUCCCUAAUUAAAAUGCAGCCUGCAAAAAGUUAGUUGGGCGUGAUGCUACAUCGGUCGGGAAGAAGACGUUUUUGUUUAAACUUGGCCGCCAACAGAAAGUUCGUCUCCCUUUUUUCCCCCCCUUCAGGGCCGGGGAUUGGGUCGUUAAUAAAAUCGGCUUUAUCACUGCGGCACUCAGAGCGGCGUGGAGGUGGAACUUAACGGAUUCCUGUGGCAUGCUGCAUAUCUUGUUAAAAGGCGCUUCAACGUGGGGAGUCAUUUCAGAACAGUUUUAUAUGCAAUUCAUUAUUCAUCAACUGGCAACCAGCCACAGAGCAGUGACUUUAAUAUGUAGUUUACGG